UACGUAGGGGGCAAGCGUUGUCCGGAAUCAUUGGGCGUAAAGAGCGUGUAGGCGGCCUGAUAAGUCGGUUGUGAAAGUCAAGGGCUCAGCCCUUGAAUGCCGACCGAUACUGUCAGGCUAGAGUCCGGAAGAGGCGAGUGGAAUUCCUGGUGUAGCGGUGAAAUGCGUAGAUAUGUGGAAGAACACCAGUGGCGAAGGCGGUUUUCUAGCUUAUACCUGACGCUGAGGCGCGAAAGCAAGGGGAGCAAACAGG
This 253-nucleotide ribosomal RNA is filed under the name uncultured bacterium. RNAcentral describes it as "partial 16S ribosomal RNA". It matches the Rfam family "Bacterial small subunit ribosomal RNA", at positions 524 to 776 of the family's 1533-position model. The record is from RNAcentral.